AGUGAACGCUGGCGGUAGGCCUAACACAUGCAAGUCGAACGGCAGCACAGUAAGAGCUUGCUCUUACGGGUGGCGAGUGGCGGACGGGUGAGGAAUACAUCGGAAUCUACUUUUUCGUGGGGGAUAACGUAGGGAAACUUACGCUAAUACCGCAUACGACCUACGGGUGAAAGCAGGGGAUCUUCGGACCUUGCGCGAUUGAAUGAGCCGAUGUCGGAUUAGCUAGUUGGCGGGGUAAAGGCCCACCAAGGCGACGAUCCGUAGCUGGUCUGAGAGGAUGAUCAGCCACACUGGAGCUGAGACACGGUCCAGACUCCUACGGGAGGCAGCAGUGGGGAAUAUUGGACAAUGGGCGCAAGCCUGAUCCAGCCAUCCCGCGUGGGUGACGAAGGCCUUCGGGUUGUAAAGCCCUUUUGUUGGGAAAGAACAGCAGCAGGUUAAUACCCCGCUGUUCUGACGGUACCCAAAGAAUAAGCACCGGCUAACUUCGUG
This 492-nucleotide ribosomal RNA is filed under the name uncultured bacterium. RNAcentral describes it as "partial 16S ribosomal RNA". It matches the Rfam family "Bacterial small subunit ribosomal RNA", at positions 29 to 507 of the family's 1533-position model. The record is from RNAcentral.